Molecule: ribosomal RNA, 468 nt
Filed under: uncultured bacterium
Lineage: Bacteria
Description: partial 16S ribosomal RNA
Rfam family: Bacterial small subunit ribosomal RNA
Source: RNAcentral
GACGAACGCUGGCGGCGUGCUUAACACAUGCAAGUCGAACGGAAAGGCCCUGCUUUUGUGGGGUGCUCGAGUGGCGAACGGGUGAGUAACACGUGAGUAACCUGCCCUUGACUUUGGGAUAACAUCAGGAAAAUGGGGCUAAUACCGGAUAGGAGCUCCUGAUGCAUGGUGGGGGUUGGAAAGUUUCGGCGGUGGGGGAUGGACUCGCGGCUUAUCAGCUUGUUGGUGGGGUAGUGGCUUACAAAGGCUUUGACGGGUAGCCGGCCUGAGAGGGUGACCGGCCACAUUGGUACUGAGAUACGGCCCAGACUCCUACCGGCGGCAGCAGUGGGGAAUAUUGCACAAUGGGCGGAAGCCUGAUGCAGCAACGCCGCGUGCGGGAUGACGGCCUUCGGGUUGUAAACCUCUUUCGCCUGUGACGAAGCGUGAGUGACGGUAAUGGGUAAAGAAGCACCGGCUAACUACGUG